Long non-coding RNA from Lolium rigidum, 174 nucleotides. RefSeq lists it as uncharacterized. The record is from RefSeq and is a predicted model, not a curated record. The transcript has 3 exons. Lineage: Eukaryota; Viridiplantae; Streptophyta; Magnoliopsida; Poales; Poaceae.
CUAUGGAAAUGGAGCCAUAAGAGAAAGAGGCAUACAAAAAAAGCUGGACCAACAUAAGGUUUCAUGCAUCAUGUCAUGCGACAACAUUGAGAAGGCCAAAUUCAAGGGGAACCUGCAAAAGCAGCAGGUUCGUAAAAUGCAAGGUACCUGCUGGCAAAAUUCAGGUGCUAUGGG